CCAAAUGUCUGAAAGGUUGAAUUCUCUUCUUGUUGAGACCCUUGCACCUUCACCUAGAUUCCUCCCUGGGCAGCUGCGGUGAAUGGAUCUGGCUACCAAAAAGAAGAGAACAGCACUUCUACCUGUUACCUGUGUGAUGGAAAUGUGAGGACAGCUAUGAAUCUGCAGUGAACUCCAAGCUGUAUGGCAGCUACAGGAUCAAGCAAAGGAUUUCUUGGAAAGGAAGGGAGAUGUCUUGGAUUCCCAAACAUGAAGAGUUUCCACUUAGUGAUUAUCAUAUACUCAGCUCUGUAGAGUGCUAAGUCUUUGGUUUAGUUUCCCAUACAGAGAAAUUGAACACGACCGAAGCAGG
Molecule: long non-coding RNA, 352 nt
Filed under: Aquila chrysaetos chrysaetos
Lineage: Eukaryota; Metazoa; Chordata; Aves; Accipitriformes; Accipitridae
Description: lncRNA (ENSACCG00020002093.1)
Source: RNAcentral